GGUCAUGAGUGACAGCCAUGUGGCCCCGGCCGGCUGUCCGGCAACCCUCCGUCCGUGGCGGGGUGCCCCGGGUGAAGACCAGGUCGUAGGCAGCGAGGUCUACGGCAAGCGCGGACC
Molecule: non-coding RNA, 117 nt
Organism: Streptomyces sp. Tu 6176
Lineage: Bacteria; Bacillati; Actinomycetota; Actinomycetes; Kitasatosporales; Streptomycetaceae
Source: Rfam